RNAcentral lists this ribosomal RNA (514 nucleotides) under uncultured bacterium. Its description in RNAcentral is "partial 16S ribosomal RNA". It matches the Rfam family "Bacterial small subunit ribosomal RNA", at positions 28 to 523 of the family's 1533-position model. The record is from RNAcentral.
GAUGAACGCUGGCGGCGUGCCUAAUACAUGCAAGUCGAGCGAACAGAUGAGAAGCUUGCUUCUCUGAUGUUAGCGGCGGACGGGUGAGUAACACGUGGGUAACCUACCUAUAAGACUGGGAUAACUCCGGGAAACCGGGGCUAAUACCGGAUAAUAUUUUGAACCGCAUGGUUCAAUAGUGAAAGACGGUUUCGGCUGUCACUUAUAGAUGGACCCGCGCCGUAUUAGCUAGUUGGUAAGGUAACGGCUUACCAAGGCGACGAUACGUAGCCGACCUGAGAGGGUGAUCGGCCACACUGGAACUGAGACACGGUCCAGACUCCUACGGGAGGCAGCAGUAGGGAAUCUUCCGCAAUGGGCGAAAGCCUGACGGAGCAACGCCGCGUGAGUGAUGAAGUUCUUCGGAUCGUAAAACUCUGUUGUUAGGGAAGAACAAAUCUGUUAGUAACUGAACAAGUCUUGACGGUACCUAACCAGAAAGCCACGGCUAACUACGUGCCAGCCGCCGCAGUAA